This is a non-coding RNA of Vicugna pacos (alpaca), 631 nucleotides long. The record is from RefSeq and is a predicted model, not a curated record. Lineage: Eukaryota; Metazoa; Chordata; Mammalia; Artiodactyla; Camelidae.
UGCUCUUCGGAUCUCCAGUUGCUGACAUCCUUUUCAGUCCUGAGUAUUGCUUUAAAAGAGACAGUUUUUUUUUAAUAUGGGCUAUUUGCUAGAACCCCCUAAAAUCGAUUCUUAUUUUAGUUUGAAUUUCUUUGCUCACUAGCAAGGUUGAAUGCUUUUUCUUUUUUAUUUGGCAGUCUGUAGUUCUUGUGUGAACUGCUGUUUGGCUCUUGGUAAUUAGAGACCGCGUUAAACAUCUUUGUUCCUGCCCUGAAUUGCUGAGGCACAGUCAUGACGGUUCAUUAAGCUGUGUUGAGUCAUCUUGGAUCAGAUCUUUAAACCGGUCAUUUGUCCACCAAUAAACGUGUGUGGAAUAAAUGCUCAGUGAGUCACAAUGCGGUCGUUGGAUGGCUGUAGGGCCAAGAGCUAACGGCCACCCUCCCCAGGAGUGGCAGGACAUUACUUCAUCUGCUCCUCCGCUCACCCACCACUCUGCCCCGCAUCCUUUUCAAGUGUGCUGGGCUGUGCUUUAGGCUUUUAGUUCCUGCGCUCAAGAACUUUGGUCUGAAGGAGAGGAGUUCACGAUACAGUGUUAAUUUGGAAACCCUUCAGCACACCAGUCCAUCUUAAGAGGAUGCAUUUGACCCAUAGA